This 250-nucleotide ribosomal RNA is filed under the name uncultured bacterium. RNAcentral describes it as "partial 16S ribosomal RNA". It matches the Rfam family "Bacterial small subunit ribosomal RNA", at positions 524 to 773 of the family's 1533-position model. The record is from RNAcentral.
UACAGAGGUCCCAAGCGUUGUUCGGAAUUACUGGGCGUAAAGCGCACGUAGGCGGAUAUUUAAGUCAGGGGUGAAAUCCCAGAGCUCAACUCUGGAACUGCCUUUGAUACUGGGUAUCUCGAGUAUGGAAGAGGUGAGUGGAAUUCCGAGUGUAGAGGUGAAAUUCGUAGAUAUUCGGAGGAACACCAGUGGCGAAGGCGGCUCACUGGUCCAUUACUGACGCUGAGGUGCGAAAGCGUGGGGAGCAAAC